UGGGGAAUAUUGCACAAUGGGCGCAAGCCUGAUGCAGCCAUGCCGCGUGUUUGAAGAAGGCCUUCGGUUUGUAAAGCACUUUCAGCGGGGAGGAAGGCGUUAAGGUUAAUAACCUUGGCGAUUGACGUUACCCGCAGAAGAAGCACCGGCUAACUCCGUGCCAGCAGCCGCGGUAAUCCGGAGGGUGCAAGCGUUAAUCGGAAUUACUGGGCGUAAAGCGCACGCAGGCGGUCUGUCAAGUCGGAUGUGAAAUCCCCGGGCUCAACCUGGGAACUGCAUUCGAAACUGGCAGGCUAGAGUCUUGUAGAGGGGGGUAGAAUUCCAGGUGUAGCGGUGAAAUGCGUAGAGAUCUGGAGGAAUACCGGUGGCGAAGGCGGCCCCCUGGACAAAGACUGAAGCUCAGGUGCGAAAGCGUGGGGAGCAAACAGG
This 429-nucleotide ribosomal RNA is filed under the name Chloroflexota bacterium. Its description in RNAcentral is "Chloroflexi bacterium partial 16S ribosomal RNA". It matches the Rfam family "Bacterial small subunit ribosomal RNA", at positions 355 to 776 of the family's 1533-position model. The record is from RNAcentral. Lineage: Bacteria; Bacillati; Chloroflexota.